Molecule: ribosomal RNA, 816 nt
Filed under: uncultured bacterium
Lineage: Bacteria
Description: bacterial SSU rRNA
Rfam family: Bacterial small subunit ribosomal RNA
Source: RNAcentral
AGGGAAAACACAAUGACCGUUUGAGGGGACGGGUGAGUAACGCGUAGGGAACCUGGCCCUUACAGGGGGAUAACAGAUGGAAACAACUGCUAAUACCGCAUAAGCGCCCAGCCUCGCAUGAGGCAGAGUGAAAAACUAAGGUGGUAAGGGAUGGCCCUGCGUCCGAUUAGCUAGUUGGUAUGGUAACGGCAUACCAAGGCGACGAUCGGUAGCCGGCCUGAGAGGGUGGACGGCCACAUUGGGACUGAGACACGGCCCAAACUCCUACGGGAGGCAGCAGUGGGGGAUAUUGCACAAUGGGGGAAACCCUGAUGCAGCGACACCGCGUGGGUGAAGAAGCGCUUCGGCGUGUAAAGCCCUAUCAGUGGGGAAGAAAAAGGACGGUACCCAAAGAAGAAGCACCGGCUAAAUACGUGCCAGCAGCCGCGGUAAUACGUAUGGUGCAAGCGUUAUCCGGAAUGACUGGGUGUAAAGGGAGCGUAGACGGUUGUACAAGUCUGAUGUGAAAGCCCACGGCUCAACUGUGGGAGUGCAUUGGAAACUGUAGAACUAGAGUAUCGGAGAGGCAAGUGGAAUUCCUAGUGUAGCGGUGAAAUGCGUAGAUAUUAGGAGGAACACCAGUGGCGAAGGCGGCUUGCUGGACGAAAACUGACGUUGAGGCUCGAAAGCGUGGGGAGCAAACAGGAUUAGAUACCCUGGUAGUCCACGCUGUAAACGAUGAAUACUAGGUGUUGGGGCCCGAAGGGCGUCGGUGCCGUCGCAAACGCAGUAAGUAUUCCACCUGGGGAGUACGUUCGCAAGAAUGAAACUCAAAGG